AUUGAACGCUGGCGGCAUGCCUUACACAUGCAAGCCGAACGGCAGCACGGGUGCUUGCACCUGGUGGCGAGUGGCGAACGGGUGAGUAAUACAUCGGAACGUACCUUAUCGUGGGGGAUAACGCAGCGAAAGUUGCGCUAAUACCGCAUACGCCCUGAGGGGGAAAGCGGGGGGCCGGAAGGCCUCGCGCGAUUAGAGCGGCCGAUGUCUGAUUAGCCUGUUGGUGGGGUAAAAGCCCACCAAGGCGACGAUCAGUAGCUGGUCUGAGAGGACGAUCAGCCACACUGGGACUGAGACACGGCCCAGACUCCUACGGGAGGCAGCAGUGGGGAAUUUUGGACAAUGGGGGCAACCCUGAUCCAGCAAUGCCGCGUGAGUGAAGAAGGCCUUCGGGUUGUAAAGCUCUUUUGUCAGGGAAGAAACACCGGCUCUAACACAGUCCGGGAAUGACGGUACCUGAAGAAUAAGCACCGGCUAACUACGUGCCAGCCGCCGCGGUAA
Molecule: ribosomal RNA, 501 nt
Filed under: uncultured bacterium
Lineage: Bacteria
Description: partial 16S ribosomal RNA
Rfam family: Bacterial small subunit ribosomal RNA
Source: RNAcentral